This 429-nucleotide ribosomal RNA is filed under the name Acidobacteriota bacterium. RNAcentral describes it as "Acidobacteria bacterium partial 16S ribosomal RNA". It matches the Rfam family "Bacterial small subunit ribosomal RNA", at positions 355 to 776 of the family's 1533-position model. The record is from RNAcentral. Lineage: Bacteria; Pseudomonadati; Acidobacteriota.
UAGGGAAUCUUCCGCAAUGGGCGAAAGCCUGACGGAGCAACGCCGCGUGAGUGAUGAAGGUCUUCGGAUCGUAAAACUCUGUUAUUAGGGAAGAACAAAUGUGUAAGUAACUAUGCACGUCUUGACGGUACCUAAUCAGAAAGCCACGGCUAACUACGUGCCAGCAGCCGCGGUAAUACGUAGGUGGCAAGCGUUAUCCGGAAUUAUUGGGCGUAAAGCGCGCGUAGGCGGUUUUUUAAGUCUGAUGUGAAAGUCCACGGCUCAACCGUGGAGGGUCAUUGGAAACUGGAAAACUUGAGUGCAGAAGAGGAAAGUGGAAUUCCAUGUGUAGCGUUGAAAUGCGCAGAGAUAUGGAGGAACACCAGUGGCGAAGGCGACUUUCUGGUCUGUAACUGACGCUGAUGUGCGAAAGCGUGGGGAUCAAACAGG